Molecule: long non-coding RNA, 2305 nt
Filed under: Salmo salar (Atlantic salmon)
Lineage: Eukaryota; Metazoa; Chordata; Actinopteri; Salmoniformes; Salmonidae
Description: lncRNA (ENSSSAG00000121164.1)
Source: RNAcentral
AACAGAACACAGACCAUCCCCAACAGAACACAGACCAUCCCCAACAGAACACAGACCAUCCCCAACAGAACACAGACCAUCCCCAACAGAACACAGACCAUCCCCAACAGAACACAGACCAACCCCAACAGAACACAGACCAACCCCAACAGAACACAGACCAUCCUCAACGGAACACAGACCAUCAGUGAAGAGUACACAGCAUAAAAUAAUGAAGGAUCUCAAUUGCGUUUCCUUGGUUCCUUGCAUCCUCUCUCCUCGCCUCUUUUUCAAAACCCAUUGGAUUAGUUUAAAUUUAUUUUAUUUUUUAUUUAACCUUUAUUUAACUAGGCAAGUCAGUUAAGAACACAUUAUUAUUUUACAAUGACGGCCUACACCAUCAAAUCCCUCCCCUAACCCAGACGACGCUGGGCCAAUUGUGCGUCGCCCUAUGGGACUCCCAAUCCCGGCCGGUUGUGAUACAGCCUGGAUUCGACCCAGGGACUGUAGUGAAGCCUCUAGCACUGAAAUGCAGUGCCUUAGAUUGAUGCGCCACUCGGGAACCCGAGAAGGUGCGUCACUUGCCACCAACAGAUGGUGGCGAGGAACGAUGACAAGAGCAAUUAAUUAAUCAAUUAAGGAAAUGCUAUUUAAAUUUAAAGGUCAACAGGAGUUCUCCCUAUGAGCACAAGACGUUGAAAAUAUAUUUUUGGGGUUGAAAAGACUUAAAAAGACAUUGAAAAACAAGACAUCUUUCAACCAUAUUUUGCUGGUAUUUCUCUUCCUCAAACACCAAGACAAUACCAUCAUCAUAAUCGAUUCUGUUGAAUGGUUUUCCUUUGAGCCCGUCCAUUGGGUAAACACCUGGUUUAACCAGUACCAUUCCGCAGGUUGUGUCUAUUAAUAUUCAUCAUUGUACAGGUAUAAAAACAUACGUACGCAAGUAUAAAAGCGAUGAUCACUGCCACAACUUCCUCUUUCAACACAGAUCUCAGAUCAACCAACGCAGUAACACAGGUAGGUUACUAAACAUUUAUAUAAUACAGGUCGGUCUUGUUAGUGUUUAUGUCUUUAUAUAUAUAUAUAUAUUACAAUGAGAAGGGAAGGAUACAGGUCGGUCUUGUUAGUGUUUAUAUCUAUAUAUAUAUAUAUAUAUUACAAUGAGAAGGGAAGGAUACAGGUCAGUCUUGUUAGUGUUUAUGUCUUUAUAUAUAUAUAUAUAUAUUACAAUGAGAAGGGAAGGAUACAGGUCAGUCUUGUUAGUGUUUAUGUCUUUAUAUAUAUAUAUUACAAUGAGAAGGGAAGGAUACAGGUCAGUCUUGUUAGUGUUUAUGUCUUUAUAUAUAUAUAUAUUACAAUGAGAAGGGAAGGAUACAGGUCAGUCUUGUUAGUGUUCAUGUCUUUAUAUCAGGUCAUUAUAUUAAUACAAUUAUAAUGAGUUGAUGCAUGUACAGGGAGGAAAUUGUAUUUCAAAAAAAAAUUAUUGAUAGUAGUUACAGUCUUGUCUCAUCACUAUAACUUCUGUACGGACUCAGGAGAGGCAAAGUGGAGAGCCAUGCGUCCUCCGAAACACAACCCAACCAAGCCGCACUGCUUCUUGACACAACACACAGACAACACAGAAGCCAGCCACACCAAUGUGACACCAUACACCUGGCGACCGUGUCAGCAUGCACUGCACCCAGCCCGCCACAGGAGUCACUAGUGUGCAAUGAGACAAGGACAUCCCUGCCAGCCAAACCCUCCCCUAACCCAGACGACACUGGGCCAAUUGUGCACCGCCCCAUCGGCCUCCCAGUUACGGCCGGCUGCAACAGAGCCUGGGCUCAAACCCAGAAUCUCUGGUGGCACAGCUAGCACUGCAAUGCAGUGCCUUAGACCACUGCGCCACCCAGGAGGCCCAUCAGUUCUUGAAUGAAUUGUUUUCACUUGUGUCUGCCAGUCACUUCUAAUUGGAGAAUAAAUAAACCUACAAGCUGUAGGCUACUAUACAAUCACAACUUACUUUGCAACUAGUUGGAAACAACUUAACUCAUUGAGUGCCAUUGGAACUGACAAUACAGUAGGCGUGUUGUGUCUGUUUUACAAGCCGAAGACAGAAGAAAGGUGCUGGUGUAUCUUGUAGUAUUUUGUUGUUUAUUAAAAACCCUGCAACCUACCUGUUAUUGUCAACCAUAAAAUAUCAAAUAAUAUUUUUUUAAAUAAUGAUUUCACAGGUCCAAUGGCAGCCAUGGUGAAAUCUGAGCCUCUUGAUGGCAAUGGUGAUUCACUGUCAGAUCAAAAGAGUAAGAAGAUGAAGAUAACUGAGCCUAAUGAUAGCAUGGUC